AGUGAACGCUGGCGGUAGGCCUAACACAUGCAAGUCGAACGGCAGCACAGUAAGAGCUUGCUCUUACGGGUGGCGAGUGGCGGACGGGUGAGGAAAUACAUCGGAAUCUACUUUUUCGUGGGGGAUAACGUAGGGAAACUUACGCUAAUACCGCAUACGACCUACGGGUGAAAGCAGGGGAUCUUCGGACCUCGCGCGAUUGAAUGAGCCGAUGUCGGAUUAGCUAGUUGGCGGGGUAAAGGCCCACCAAGGCGACGAUCCGUAGCUGGUCUGAGAGGAUGAUCAGCCACACUGGAACUGAGACACGGUCCAGACUCCUACGGGAGGCAGCAGUGGGGAAUAUUGGACAAUGGGCGCAAGCCUGAUCCAGCCAUACCGCGUGGGUGAAGAAGGCCUUCGGGUUGUAAAGCCCUUUUGUUGGGAAAGAAAAGCAGCAGGUUAAUACCCCGCUGUUCUGACGGUACCCAAAGAAUAAGCACCGGCUAACUUCGUG
RNAcentral lists this ribosomal RNA (493 nucleotides) under uncultured bacterium. RNAcentral describes it as "partial 16S ribosomal RNA". It matches the Rfam family "Bacterial small subunit ribosomal RNA", at positions 29 to 507 of the family's 1533-position model. The record is from RNAcentral.